UACGGGGGGGGCAAGCGUUGUUCGGAAUUACUGGGCGUAAAGGGCUCGUAGGCGGCCAACUAAGUCAUACGUGAAAUCCCUCGGCUUAACCGGGGAACUGCGUCUGAUACUGGAUGGCUUGAGUUCGGGAGAGGGAUGCGGAAUUCCUGGUGUAGCGGUGAAAUGCGCAGAUAUCAGGAAGAACACCAAUGGCGAAAGCAGCUUUCUGGGACGGUACUGACGCUGAGACGCGAAAGCGUGGGGAGCGAACAGG
Molecule: ribosomal RNA, 253 nt
Filed under: uncultured bacterium
Lineage: Bacteria
Description: partial 16S ribosomal RNA
Rfam family: Bacterial small subunit ribosomal RNA
Source: RNAcentral